Molecule: ribosomal RNA, 537 nt
Filed under: uncultured Acidobacteriota bacterium
Lineage: Bacteria; Pseudomonadati; Acidobacteriota
Description: bacterial SSU rRNA
Rfam family: Bacterial small subunit ribosomal RNA
Source: RNAcentral
UUGAUCCUGGCUCAGAAUCAACGCUGGCGGCGUGCCUAACACAUGCAAGUCGAACGCGAAAGGGGAGCAAUCCCUGAGUAGAGUGGCGAACGGGUGAGUUACACGUGGGUGACCUGCCUUCGAGUGGGGGAUAACGUCCCGAAAGGGACUCUAAUACCGCAUGACAUCCCGUCUUUGAAGAGAUGGUGAUUAAAGCUGGUGAUCGCAAGACCUGGCGCUUGAAGAGGGGCUCGCGUCCGAUUAGCUAGUUGGUGGGGUAAUGGCCUACCAAGGCGACGAUCGGUAGCCGGCCUGAGAGGUCGGACGGCCACACUGGGACUGAGACACGGCCCAGACUCCUACGGGAGGCUGCAGUGGGGAAUUGUUCGCAAUGGGCGCAAGCCUGACGACGCAACGCCGUGUGGAGGAUGAAGAUUUUCGGAUCGUAAACUCCUUUCGAUCGGGACGAAUCGGUCGCGACCUAAUACGUCGUGGCACUGACGGUACCGAGAGAAGAAGCUCCGGCUAACUCCGUGCCAGCAGCCGCGGUAAUAAGGU